RNAcentral lists this small RNA (919 nucleotides) under Pan troglodytes (chimpanzee). Its description in RNAcentral is "retained intron". Lineage: Eukaryota; Metazoa; Chordata; Mammalia; Primates; Hominidae. The record is from RNAcentral.
CAGUGUUCCUCAUCCCAGUUUUGUCCUCCUUUUGGUUCCAUGAUGGAAAGCAGCCCCAUUCCAGAGGAGAAACAAGUUCAGCUCAGCUGGGAGUACAGGCUGCCCCUCUUCUUUGAUCCACAAGAGCCUCUGACUUCUCUGACUCCUGUUUCUGUAGGCUAUGAGAUCACCUUCAGUUUACUCAACCCAGACCCCAAGUCCCAUGAUGUCCACUGGGACAUUGAGGGGGCUGUCCGGCGCUAUGUGCAACCUUUCCUGAAUGCCCUCAGUGCCGCUGGCAACUUCUCUGUGGACUCUCAGAUUCUUUACUAUGCAAUGUUGGGGGUGAAUCCCCGCUUUGACUCAGCUUCCUCCAGCUACUAUUUGGACAUGCACAGCCUCCCCCAUGUCAUCAACCCAGUGGAGUCCCGGCUGGGAUCCAGUGCUGCCUCCUUGUACCCUGUGCUCAACUUUCUGCUCUACGUGCCUGAGCUUGCACACUCACCGCUGUACAUUCAGGACAAGGAUGGCGCUCCAGUGGCCACCAAUGCCUUCCAUAGUCCCCGCUGGGGUGGCAUUAUGGUAAUAGUCACACUACGCAGACCCCAGAGCCCAUGCUUCUGGGACAGGCAGGUGUCCCUGAAACUGUGUUCCUUCUGUUUUCCUUCUGGUGUCCUCCAUGGCCCAGCCUGUGGGAGGGGCAGGCACCAGGAAGGUGAGGGUGCUAUGUGCUCAUGCCCCUCUUCUGCCGGCCCCACUUUUGUUUCCGCCAGUGUUUUCUAUACUGUGACCCUUUGCCCUUACCUAGGAUCAUUCUGUGUCCAUCUUAGAUCUUCGCCUUAUUUGUGGGAGUCUUGCAAGGUUGGGAGCCUUGUCUCCCUUGUUAGACUGGAAGUUUCUCAUGGGGGAGAAUUCUAAAAUGGGAUAAGAAAAAAAUAUG